This 330-nucleotide ribosomal RNA is filed under the name uncultured bacterium. RNAcentral's name for it is "bacterial SSU rRNA". It matches the Rfam family "Bacterial small subunit ribosomal RNA", at positions 568 to 897 of the family's 1533-position model. The record is from RNAcentral.
CGUGUAGAUGGCUUUUUAAGUCAGCUGUGAAAUCUCCUGGCUCAACCGGGAGAGGUCAGUUGAUACUGAGGAGCUUGAGGGCAGCAGAGGAAGAUGGAAUUCCCGGUGUAGUGGUGAAAUGCGUAGAUAUCGGGAGGAACACCAGUGGCGAAGGCGGUCUUCUGGGCUGUUUCUGACAUUGAGGCGCGAAAGCGUGGGGAGUGAAGCGGAUCAGAUACCCGCGUAAUCCACGCUAUAAACGGUGGAUACUAGGUAUGGGGGGUAUCGACCCUCUCCGUGCCGCAGCUAACGUUUUAAGUAUCCCGCCUGGGACUACGGCCGCAAGGUUAA